Molecule: ribosomal RNA, 1199 nt
Filed under: Lactiplantibacillus plantarum
Lineage: Bacteria; Bacillati; Bacillota; Bacilli; Lactobacillales; Lactobacillaceae
Description: bacterial SSU rRNA
Rfam family: Bacterial small subunit ribosomal RNA
Source: RNAcentral
GGGAAUUAAGGGUCUAUACAUGCAGUCGACGAACUCUGGGUAUUGAUUGGUGCUUGCAUCAUGAUUUACAUUUGAGUGAGUGGCGAACUGGUGAGUAACACGUGGGAAACCUGCCCAGAAGCGGGGGAUAACACCUGGAAACAGAUGCUAAUACCGCAUAACAACUUGGACCGCAUGGUCCGAGCUUGAAAGAUGGCUUCGGCUAUCACUUUUGGAUGGUCCCGCGGCGUAUUAGCUAGAUGGUGGGGUAACGGCUCACCAUGGCAAUGAUACGUAGCCGACCUGAGAGGGUAAUCGGCCACAUUGGGACUGAGACACGGCCCAAACUCCUACGGGAGGCAGCAGUAGGGAAUCUUCCACAAUGGACGAAAGUCUGAUGGAGCAACGCCGCGUGAGUGAAGAAGGGUUUCGGCUCGUAAAACUCUGUUGUUAAAGAAGAACAUAUCUGAGAGUAACUGUUCAGGUAUUGACGGUAUUUAACCAGAAAGCCACGGCUAACUACGUGCCAGCAGCCGCGGUAAUACGUAGGUGGCAAGCGUUGUCCGGAUUUAUUGGGCGUAAAGCGAGCGCAGGCGGUUUUUUAAGUCUGAUGUGAAAGCCUUCGGCUCAACCGAAGAAGUGCAUCGGAAACUGGGAAACUUGAGUGCAGAAGAGGACAGUGGAACUCCAUGUGUAGCGGUGAAAUGCGUAGAUAUAUGGAAGAACACCAGUGGCGAAGGCGGCUGUCUGGUCUGUAACUGACGCUGAGGCUCGAAAGUAUGGGUAGCAAACAGGAUUAGAUACCCUGGUAGUCCAUACCGUAAACGAUGAAUGCUAAGUGUUGGAGGGUUUCCGCCCUUCAGUGCUGCAGCUAACGCAUUAAGCAUUCCGCCUGGGGGAGUACGGCCGCAAGGCUGAAACUCAAAGGAAUUGACGGGGGGCCCGCACAAGCGGUGGAGCAUGUGGUUUAAUUCGAAGCUACGCGAAGAACCUUACCAGGUCUUGACAUACUAUGCAAAUCUAAGAGAUUAGACGUUUCCCUUCGGGGACAUGGAUACAGGGUGGUGCAUGAUUGUCGUCAGCUCGUGUCGUGAGAUGUUGGGGUUUAAGUCCCUGCAACGAGCGCAACCCGUUUAUUUAAUCAGGGUGCCUAGCAUUUAAGGUUGGGUCACUCUGUGAGACUGGACUGAUGACAAACCGAAGGAAGCUUGGAGCAAUGC